RNAcentral lists this transfer RNA (88 nucleotides) under Bacillota bacterium. RNAcentral describes it as "Firmicutes bacterium (anaerobic digester metagenome) tRNA-Leu". It matches the Rfam family "tRNA". Rfam says of the family: Transfer RNA (tRNA) molecules are approximately 80 nucleotides in length. Their secondary structure includes four short double-helical elements and three loops (D, anti-codon, and T loops). The record is from RNAcentral. Lineage: Bacteria; Bacillati; Bacillota. RNAcentral also lists the same sequence under 1 other name.
GCCGGAGUGGCGAAACUGGUAAACGCUGUGGACUUAAAAUCCACCGGUGCAUGGCACCUUGCGGGUUCGACUCCCGCCUCCGGCACCA